UGCAGAAGAGGGUUAUAGUUUGAUCAUGGCUCAGGAUGAACGCUGGCGGCGCGCCUAACACGUGCAAGUCGAGCGAGGCACUUUACUUUGAUUCUUCGGAUGAAGAGUUUUGAGACUGAGCGGCGGACGGGUGAGUAACGCGUGGGUAACCUGCCUCAUACAGGGGGAUAACAGUUAGAAAUGACUGCUAAUACCGCAUAAGACCACAGCACCGCAUGGUGCAGGGGUAAAAACUCCGGUGGUAUGAGAUGGACCCGCGUCUGAUUAGCUAGUUGGUAAGGUAACGGCUUACCAAGGCAACGAUCAGUAGCCGACCUGAGAGGGUGACCGGCCACAUUGGGACUGAGACACGGCCCAAACUCCUACGGGAGGCAGCAGUGGGGAAUAUUGCACAAUGGGGGAAACCCUGAUGCAGCGACGCCGCGUGAGCGAAGAAGUAUUUCGGUAUGUAAAGCUCUAUCAGCAGGGAAGAAACUGACGGUACCUGACUAAGAAGCACCGGCUAAAUACGUGCCAGCAGCCGCGGUAAUACGUAUGGUGCAAGCGUUAUCCGGAUUUACUGGGUGUAAAGGGAGCGUAGACGGAUAGGCAAGUCUGGAGUGAAAGCCCGGGGCUCAACCCCGGGACUGCUUUGGAAACUGUUUAUCUAGAGUGCUGGAGAGGUAAGUG
Molecule: ribosomal RNA, 669 nt
Filed under: uncultured organism
Description: bacterial SSU rRNA
Rfam family: Bacterial small subunit ribosomal RNA
Source: RNAcentral